This is a long non-coding RNA of Polypterus senegalus (gray bichir), 796 nucleotides long. RefSeq lists it as uncharacterized. The record is from RefSeq and is a predicted model, not a curated record. NCBI's taxonomy places the organism in Eukaryota, Metazoa, Chordata, Cladistia, Polypteriformes, Polypteridae. The transcript is spliced from 3 exons.
CCAAAAUAGCACUGAUAGUGGAUCCGCGCCUGAAUAAUGUGUGCUCGACACCGGACAAACGAAUAAAUGGCUAGAUGCGGUCUUUAUGAUCAGGUCGGAGUUUUCGGAUGGUUGAAAAUGUUAUAACUUUUUCAUAAUUCUCGCCCAAACAUAGCCUCAUCUUUGGAACUGGAAUCUCCUCUUUGUUUUUUAAACCCAGCGUCAGUUUAUAGUCUGCUAAAAUGGUGCCUUUCUACUAAAAUUCGGUUAUAGACGAAAUAACAGUAAGUAAACUUGCGUCUAAAAGACAAAAAAAACGUAUUUAGUGAAAAGACAUGAGUUGUAAUAUAGAAAGUUAAUAAUAAACCGACUAUAGCAGGUUUGUGCAAAGACGGAUGGCUGGAAAAACUGGAAAGGCGCAAUGUGGCGUCUUUCGCCACAAAGUGCUCGUUUCUGUAAAGUUCUGACUUUUCCCAACGUGAAUGAACACGCAGUGCCUUAUUGGAGGUGUCUUUUAGUCAACGUUAUGGAUGAGGGUCUUCGUUUGAGAUUCCGAUACGGAAUGGACAAAACGGACUUCUCCAAUUAUCAGCUGAACAUCUGAUCUUCUGCUGGGGAAUUUCGAGGUGUUCGCUUGCAAUCUGAGGGAUGUUAUGCGUCCAGUGUGUCCUGGGGCGGUCAUUGCGUCAAAUGGCUGGUCUAUAUCAGGAGGGCUGCGGCUCUUCUGUCUGGACGGCUGGUUGGUGUAGACGGACGCACACAAUGUGGAGAAAAAAACACCGUGAUGUUCCAACAAUGAUGGAUGCAUUAAAAGCCA